This 741-nucleotide ribosomal RNA is filed under the name uncultured bacterium. RNAcentral describes it as "bacterial SSU rRNA". It matches the Rfam family "Bacterial small subunit ribosomal RNA", at positions 8 to 796 of the family's 1533-position model. The record is from RNAcentral.
AGAGUUUGAUCCUGGCUCAGAACGAACGCUGGCGGCAGGCUUAACACAUGCAAGUCGAACGCACCGCAAGGUGAGUGGCAGACGGGUGAGUAACGCGUGGGAACGUGCCCUUCAGUUCGGGAUAACCCAGGGAAACUUGGGCUAAUACCGGAUACGUGCGAGAGCAGAAAGAUUGAUCGCUGAAGGAUCGGCCCGCGUCUGAUUAGCUAGUUGGUAGGGUAAUGGCCUACCAAGGCGACGAUCAGUAGCUGGUCUGAGAGGAUGAUCAGCCACAUUGGGACUGAGACACGGCCCAAACUCCUACGGGAGGCAGCAGUGGGGAAUAUUGGACAAUGGGCGCAAGCCUGAUCCAGCCAUGCCGCGUGAGUGAUGAAGGCCUUAGGGUUGUAAAGCUCUUUUCGGCGGGGACGAUAAUGACGGUACCCGCAGAAGAAGCCCCGGCUAACUUCGUGCCAGCAGCCGCGGUAAUACGAAGGGGGCUAGCGUUGUUCGGAAUCACUGGGCGUAAAGGGCGCGUAGGCGGCCUGAUAAGUCGGGGGUGAAAGCCUGUGGCUCAACCACAGAAUUGCCUUCGAUACUGUCGGGCUUGAGACCGGAAGAGGUAAGUGGAACUGCGAGUGUAGAGGUGAAAUUCGUAGAUAUUCGCAAGAACACCAGUGGCGAAGGCGGCUUACUGGUCCGGUUCUGACGCUGAGGCGCGAAAGCGUGGGGAGCAAACAGGAUUAGAUACCCUAGUAGUCC